Molecule: small nuclear RNA, 162 nt
Organism: Manis javanica (Malayan pangolin)
Lineage: Eukaryota; Metazoa; Chordata; Mammalia; Pholidota; Manidae
Product: U1 spliceosomal RNA
Source: RefSeq, a predicted model, not a curated record
AUACUUACCUGGCAGGGCAGAUACCGUGAUCACAAAGGUGGUUUUCCCAGGGCGUCAUUUAUCCAUUGCACUCCGGAAGUGCUGACCCUGCGAUUUGUCCAAAUGUGGGAAACUCAACCGCACGAUUUGUGGUAGUGGGGAACUGCGUUGUGCUUUUCCCUG